Molecule: ribosomal RNA, 253 nt
Filed under: uncultured bacterium
Lineage: Bacteria
Description: partial 16S ribosomal RNA
Rfam family: Bacterial small subunit ribosomal RNA
Source: RNAcentral
GACAGAGGAUGCAAGCGUCAUCCGGAAUGAUUGGGCGUAAAGCGUCUGUAGGUGGCUUUUUAAGUCCGUCGUCAAAUCCCAGGGCUCAACCCUGGACAGGCGGUGGAAACUACCAAGCUGGAGUACGGUAGGGGCAGAGGGAAUUUCCGGUGGAGCGUGAAAUGCGUAGAGAUCGGAAAGAACACCAACGGCGGAAAGCAACUCUGCUGGGCCGACACUGACACUGAGAGACGAAAGCUAGGGAGCGAAUGGG